AUUGAACGCUGGCGGCAGGCCUAACGCAUGCAAGUCGAGCGGAUGAAGGGAGCUUGCUCCUGGAUUCAGCGGCGGACGGGUGCGUAAUGCCUAGGAAUCUGCCUGGUAGUGGGGGAUAACGUCCGGAAACGGGCGCUAAUACCGCAUACGUACUGAGGGAGCAAGUGGGGGAUCUUCGGACCUCACGCUAUCAGAUGAGCCUAGGUCGGAUUAGCUAGUUGGUGGGGUAAAGGCCUACCAAGGCGACGAUCCGUAACUGGUCUGAGAGGAUGAUCAGUCACACUGGAACUGAGACACGGUCCAGACUCCUACGGGAGGCAGCAGUGGGGAAUAUUGGACAAUGGGCGAAAGCCUGAUCCAGCCAUGCCGCGUGUGUGAAGAAGGUCUUCGGAUUGUAAAGCACUUUAAGUUGGGAGGAAGGGCAGUAAGUUAAUACCUUGCUGUUUUGACGUUACCAACAGAAUAAGCACCGGCUAACUUCGUG
Molecule: ribosomal RNA, 484 nt
Filed under: uncultured bacterium
Lineage: Bacteria
Description: partial 16S ribosomal RNA
Rfam family: Bacterial small subunit ribosomal RNA
Source: RNAcentral